Molecule: ribosomal RNA, 120 nt
Filed under: Trifolium subterraneum subsp. yanninicum
Lineage: Eukaryota; Viridiplantae; Streptophyta; Magnoliopsida; Fabales; Fabaceae
Source: RNAcentral
AGGUGCGAUCAUACCAGCACUAAUGCACCGGAUCCCAUCAGAACUCCGCAGUUAAGCGUGCUUGGGCGAGAGUAGUACUAGGAUGGGUGACCUCCUGGGAAGUCCUUGUGUUGCACCUCU